RNAcentral lists this microRNA precursor (96 nucleotides) under Ailuropoda melanoleuca (giant panda). RNAcentral describes it as "mir-544 microRNA precursor family". It matches the Rfam family "mir-544 microRNA precursor family". The record is from Rfam by way of RNAcentral. Lineage: Eukaryota; Metazoa; Chordata; Mammalia; Carnivora; Ursidae.
AUCACCUGGGGAUCUUGUUAAAAUAUGGAUUCUGAUUCAGACACCUGAGGAAGGCCUGAGAUUCUGGAUUUUUAACAAGCUCCCAGGGGGUGCCAA